This 407-nucleotide ribosomal RNA is filed under the name uncultured bacterium. Its description in RNAcentral is "partial 16S ribosomal RNA". It matches the Rfam family "Bacterial small subunit ribosomal RNA", at positions 30 to 526 of the family's 1533-position model. The record is from RNAcentral.
AUUGAACGCUGGCGGCAGGCCUAACACAUGCAAGUCGAGCGGAGCGGCGGACGGGUGAGUAAUGCCUCGGAAUCUGCCUGGUAGUGGUGGAUAACUUCCGGAAACGGGCGCUAAUACCGCAUACUAUCAGAUGAGCCUAGUUCGGAUUAGCUAGUUGGUGGGGUACAGGCCUAACAGGUCGACGAUCCGUAACGGGUCUGAGAGGAUGAUCAGUCACACUGGAAAUGAGACACGGUCCAGACUCCGACGGGAGGCAGCAGUGGGUAAUAUGGGACAAUGGGCGAAAGCCUGAUUCAUCCAUGCCGCGUGUGUGAAGAAGGUCUUCGGAGUGUAAAGCACGUUAAGUUGGGAGGCGUUACCAACAGAAUAAGCACCGGCUAACUACGUGCCAGCAGCCGCGGUAAUAC